AUACGGAGGUUGCAAGUGUUACUCGGAAUCACUGGGCGUAAAGCGCGCGCAGGCGGCUAUUUAAGUUGGAUGUGAAAGCCUACGGCUCAACCGUAGAACUGCAUCCAAAACUAUUUAGCUAGAGUGUGGGAGAGGAAGAUGGAAUUAGUUGUGUAGGGGUAAAAUCCGUAGAGAUAACUAGGAAUACCAAAAGCGAAGGCAAUCUUCUGGAACACUACUGACGCUGAGGCGCGAAAGCGUGGGGAGCAAACGGGAUUAGAUACCCUAGUAGUCC
This 274-nucleotide ribosomal RNA is filed under the name uncultured bacterium. RNAcentral describes it as "partial 16S ribosomal RNA". It matches the Rfam family "Bacterial small subunit ribosomal RNA", at positions 523 to 796 of the family's 1533-position model. The record is from RNAcentral.